This 74-nucleotide transfer RNA is filed under the name Chloroflexi bacterium ADurb.Bin180. RNAcentral's name for it is "tRNA-Lys". It matches the Rfam family "tRNA". Rfam says of the family: Transfer RNA (tRNA) molecules are approximately 80 nucleotides in length. Their secondary structure includes four short double-helical elements and three loops (D, anti-codon, and T loops). The record is from RNAcentral. Lineage: Bacteria; Bacillati; Chloroflexota.
GGGCCGCUAGCUCAAUUGGUAGAGCAAAUGACUCUUAAUCAUUAGGUUACAGGUUCGAGUCCUGUGCGGCUCAC